UCCGAACCCGGAAGCUAAGCCUCUCAGCGCCGAUGGUACUGCAGGGGCGACCCUGUGGGAGAGUAGGACACCGCCGGAC
Molecule: ribosomal RNA, 79 nt
Filed under: Microbacterium sp. 71-23
Lineage: Bacteria; Bacillati; Actinomycetota; Actinomycetes; Micrococcales; Microbacteriaceae
Source: RNAcentral